Molecule: microRNA, 22 nt
Filed under: Anolis carolinensis (green anole)
Lineage: Eukaryota; Metazoa; Chordata; Lepidosauria; Squamata; Anolidae
Description: aca-miR-9577-5p
Source: miRBase by way of RNAcentral
UGGCCCAAACUCUUAUGAAAUC